Molecule: ribosomal RNA, 465 nt
Filed under: uncultured bacterium
Lineage: Bacteria
Description: partial 16S ribosomal RNA
Rfam family: Bacterial small subunit ribosomal RNA
Source: RNAcentral
CCUACGGGUGGCAGCAGUGGGGAAUAUUGCGCAAUGGGCGAAAGCCUGACGCAGCGACGCCGCGUGAGGGAUGAAGGUCUUCGGAUCGUAAACCUCUGUCAGCAGGGAAGAACGGUCACUGUGCUAAUCAGCAGUGAAUUGACGGUACCUGCAAAGGAAGCACCGGCUAACUCCGUGCCAGCAGCCGCGGUAAUACGGAGGGUGCGAGCGUUAAUCGGAAUUACUGGGCGUAAAGCGCUCGUAGGCGGUAUGUCAAGUCAAGGGGGAAAUCCCCGCGCUCAACGUGGGAACUGCCUUUGAUACUGGCAAACUGGAGUGUGUGAGAGGAUAGUGGAAUUCCAGGUGUAGGAGUGAAAUCCGUAGAGAUCUGGAGGAACAUCAGUGGCGAAGGCGACUAUCUGGCACAUAACUGACGCUGAGGAGCGAAAGCGUGGGUAGCAAACAGGAUUAGAUACCCCGGUAGUC